This 1177-nucleotide long non-coding RNA is filed under the name Malus domestica (apple). Its description in RNAcentral is "long non-coding RNA (MDOM_LNC019182)". The record is from RNAcentral. Lineage: Eukaryota; Viridiplantae; Streptophyta; Magnoliopsida; Rosales; Rosaceae.
AGGAAACUAUGACCACAACAAUUGGGCCAUAAUGCAAAUACAAAGACUUUUGGGGUCACUUUGUAAAAACACAAUAGUCCACAACUUCAUGUAAUUACAACUAGAUCCCAAAAAUUUAAUAAUGUAAAAGCAUCAUUAAAGGAUCAAAACAAUUUGUCCUUUAGAGUUUUUUGGGCCUUAACGUAAAAACGUAAACUUUUGGGCCAAAAUGCAAAUACACAAAAGUAUCUCAAACUUUAUGUAAUUGCACAAAAGGCCCCAAAAGUAACCCCCCUUGGGGUUGCCGGCCAUUGGAAGAAGUUAUGAAAAAUUUUCUAAAAAGUUUUUGCAAGUUGAUUUUGGUGGGUGAGGAAAAGGGUGAAAGUGAUGGUUUGUAAGAAAAAAUUAAAAUCUAUGACAAACAUUAAAACAUUUCAUCACAUCUCACCAAUAACCAUCAACCAUCAAAUAAUAAACCAAAACUUUAUGAAAAACAUAAAACUUUUGAAUCAAAACUUCAAACCUUUUUGUUCUUGGCAAGAACUUCAAGAACAUUUGAAGAACACCAUGAAAACUAAUAAUAGCUCCAUGAAUGUUUUCAUUCACCAAAACUCAAUUUUUCACCACUCAAAAGAGGGCUAAUAUCCUAGGGUACUUAGGGGUUCCAAAAGUCACCGUAAAACCAUUUUAACAAGACAAACAUAAACCCAAAAAAUCACCCUAAGGAUUUGGCCGAAUUUCCCAAAAUACAUGGCACCAAAUUUUAGUUCCAAUAUUCAUGCUUAAAUGAAAUACAUCUACAACAUUUGAGAUGCUAAAUUUUCUAGCAAAAUUUAUAUAUUCAAAAGCAAGAAUAAAGCUUGUAACAUUUACAACAUUUAAAUCACAAAACAUGAAAAUCACAAAACCCAAAAGGAUUCACCAUAAACUAGGCCUAGGCUCUGAUACCACUUGAAGGAAAAAUUUUGUCCUAGCUAAGAACAAGUAUGAACAUUUGAAUACAUAUGCAAGCUAUAAACAAUUUAAAGUAGGCAUGCAUCCAAAAACAAUUGAUAAAACCCAUGACUUUCAAAGCCUAGUAUAUGGUGAACCAAUAAACUCUUUAACAACAUUAAAGAGAAGUAAAAAUUUAGAGUUUCUUUACCCUUGAAGCUCAUCCUUGUUUACACAAGGGAUUCACCCAAGUGGAGGGCCUUCA